GCCAGGUGCGGUGGCACAUGCCUGUAAUCCCAGCAACCCAGGAGGCUGAGGCAGGAGGAUCACAAGUUCAAACCCAGCCUCGGCAACUUAGUGAGGCCCUAAGCAAGUUAGUGAGACCCUGUCUCAA
RNAcentral lists this small RNA (127 nucleotides) under Marmota monax (woodchuck). Lineage: Eukaryota; Metazoa; Chordata; Mammalia; Rodentia; Sciuridae. The record is from RNAcentral.